CUUGAAGGGUAUAGUGAUGCGAAUUGGAUCUCUGAUGCUGAUGAGAUGAAGGCCACAACUGGGUAUAUGUUUACUCUUGGAGGUGGCGCUGUUUCCUGGAAGUCUUGCAAGCAAACGAUCUUAACGAGAUCGACAAUGGAAGCAGAAUUAACGGCAUUAGACACAUCUGGUGUUGAAGCGAGAUGGCUUCGAGAUCUUUUGAUGGACUUGCCAUUGGUUGAUAAACCGGUUCCGGCUAUCCUUAUGAACUGUGACAAUCAGACUGUCAUCACCAAGGUGAAGAGUUCAAAGGACAAUAUGAAGUCCACCAAACACAUAAGAAUGAGA
Molecule: ribosomal RNA, 327 nt
Filed under: Triticum aestivum (bread wheat)
Lineage: Eukaryota; Viridiplantae; Streptophyta; Magnoliopsida; Poales; Poaceae
Description: partial small subunit ribosomal RNA
Source: RNAcentral